RNAcentral lists this long non-coding RNA (479 nucleotides) under Equus caballus (horse). RNAcentral describes it as "lncRNA (ENSECAG00000050074.1)". The record is from RNAcentral. Lineage: Eukaryota; Metazoa; Chordata; Mammalia; Perissodactyla; Equidae.
CUUCUCUCCUGUCUGGCUAUUUUGCCUCUUGUCUGGGGGCAAGGAAUUCAAGGACCUCAAGGAGAAAGAGUUGUUCCUUGUUCUCUGAGUCAAAUAUGAACAAAAGAACGUUGCUUCUCUCAGCACAGCAAAGCAGAUUGGAAUUUUCCAAAGAAACUUGACUAAAGAAAAAGGGACACAAGCAAAGAAAACACAAAGUUCCACCUGUUUGGUAGAGUUGUGACAUGUUCACGUAAAUGCUUGCAUAUGCUAGAUCAAAGUUCUGGCCAAUGAGAUGGAAGCAGACAUUCUUAGGUGAGGCUUCCUACAAAGCUCCUUAAAAUAGGGGCAAACAGCUCAUUCAUGCCCUUUCUUCCGCUCCUCCCUUCCUCCUGCUGGAAGGCAGACAUGAUGGCUGGAAUAAGAAAGGAAGCCACACAUCAAGGACGGCAGUGCUUGGAUCCCUGAUGACUUUGUGAAGUCGUUAUAUCAGCCCUAAA